UACGUAGGAGGCGAGCGUUGUCCGGAAUUACUGGGUGUAAAGCGCGCGUAGGUGGGAGGCCAAGUCUGUGGUGAAAGCCCCCGGCUCAACUGGGGAGGGUCACGCGAUACUGCUCGACUUGAAGGCAGGAGAGGGAAGUGGAAUUCCCGGUGUAGUGGUGAAAUGCGUAGAUAUCGGGAGGAACACCAGUGGCGAAGGCGACUUCCUGGCCUGUUCUUGACGCUGAGGCGCGAAAGCUAGGGUAGCAAACGGG
RNAcentral lists this ribosomal RNA (253 nucleotides) under uncultured bacterium. RNAcentral describes it as "partial 16S ribosomal RNA". It matches the Rfam family "Bacterial small subunit ribosomal RNA", at positions 524 to 776 of the family's 1533-position model. The record is from RNAcentral.